AGGAAAUAAAAAAGGAUGACCAAAUAUUAAUUGAUAGUGACUCAGAUGUAUCCAACCCAUUCACUGCAUACCAACAAUUUUAUUUAAAGUUGUUUCUGGAAAGGAAGAAACCUUCAGAGAGUCUGUAUGAAAGUGAGACAUUGAUGCUGCUGGAGCAACAGUUUGAAAAGACUUGUCAUGGAAUCUCAGCUUACACGUGUAGAUAAUUUCAGGGAGAGAAGACUACUGACUCUGUUGAAGAUGAACCUCCUUGGACAGUGUGGGUGAUAAAUGUCUGAAGGAGAAAGUGAAUAUUCUUGUAGCUCUAGAAGAACUUUGGUCAGCUGUGAGAGUAAAGUGUAGUCUCCAAAAUGCACAACAAGAUAUAUCCAAUAAAAUAAAAUUACUAGAAGAAAGAAAAGAGAAACAUCGCAUAAAUACACCUUUGAAUAAUGAAAAUAAUAAUGCCCAAAGUUCAGAAGGUAUAACAAUUCCAUUAAUAAAAAACAAGGAAAAAAUACAUGAUUCAGCAAGAAAUAUUCAGUUAGGUGCCAAAAAGCUGUUCACAGAGAUGCCUUUCCUGAUUCAAAAUUACAUUCCCAGUGAUGAAGGCUGGAUAUAUCAGAUACUCCUGCGUUUGAAUGCUCUUGACAUUGGCGACUUUAUAAAAUCUGUAUUUUCAGUAAUGGCAACUGUAAGCAGAAAGGUAAGAGUUAUUUGUUAUUU
RNAcentral lists this long non-coding RNA (705 nucleotides) under Crocodylus porosus (Australian saltwater crocodile). Its description in RNAcentral is "lncRNA (ENSCPRG00005004002.1)". The record is from RNAcentral. Lineage: Eukaryota; Metazoa; Chordata; Crocodylia; Crocodylidae.